CCUACGGGUGGCAGCAGUGGGGAAUAUUGGGCAAUGGAGGCAACUCUGACCCAGCAACGCCGCGUGAAUGAUGAAGGUCUUCGGAUUGUAAAGUUCUUUUCUAAGGGAAGCAGAGAGUGACGGUACCUUAGGAAUAAGCCUCGGCUAACUACGUGCCAGCAGCCGCGGUAAUACGAAGGAGGCAAGCGUUAUCCGGAAUGACUGGGCGUAAAGGGUGCGUAGGUGGUUUGGCAAGUUAGUAGCGCAAAUCCGUAGCCCAAAUUCCGAACUACUACUAACACUGGUGGACUUGAGUGCAGGAGGGGCAAUCGGAAUGCGUAGUGUAGCGGUGGAAUGCGUAGAUAUUAGGAGGAACACCAGUGGCGAAGGCGGAUUGCUGGACUGUAACUGACACUGAGGCACGAAAGCGUGGGGAGCAAACAGGAUUAGAUACCCCAGUAGUC
Molecule: ribosomal RNA, 443 nt
Filed under: uncultured bacterium
Lineage: Bacteria
Description: partial 16S ribosomal RNA
Rfam family: Bacterial small subunit ribosomal RNA
Source: RNAcentral